AAUGACCACAUAAUGGGUGGAGCCACUCAGCCUCAGUAAAGCAAUGCUAGUGAUAACAGUUAGGAGCUAUACAGUAAGAGCAAAGCUAGCUACAAAAUAUUCCUAGCAGCGUCUACUCAUCUAAUUCUACAAGAAGUAGAGCUAGCUACAAUAUUAUGAAGCCUGACUUGUACCAGGUUGCUAACGUAAGCCCUGUCCAGGAGAAGGAAAACCACUCAAAAACUCGUUAUCGUUUUUACGGACCCAGGUGGCAGCAACAAGCUCAUCAGGCCCACCAGCAUGAGGUGUUGAGGAUGUGAAAAUAUAUUGAGACAAACAUUGUGAAGGACACGAAAGGGGAGAGAGAGGAGGAACGACAUGCAGC
Molecule: long non-coding RNA, 364 nt
Organism: Perca flavescens (yellow perch)
Lineage: Eukaryota; Metazoa; Chordata; Actinopteri; Perciformes; Percidae
Exons: 3
Source: RefSeq, a predicted model, not a curated record